RNAcentral lists this ribosomal RNA (253 nucleotides) under uncultured bacterium. RNAcentral describes it as "partial 16S ribosomal RNA". It matches the Rfam family "Bacterial small subunit ribosomal RNA", at positions 524 to 776 of the family's 1533-position model. The record is from RNAcentral.
UACGUAGGGUGCGAGCGUUGCCCGGAUUUACUGGGCGUAAAGCGCGCGUAGGCGGACCUGCAAGUCGGGGGUGAAAGCCCGAGGCUCAACCUCGGAACUGCCUUCGAUACUGCGGGUCUCGAGUCCGGGAGAGGUGAGUGGAAUUCCUAGUGUAGAGGUGAAAUUCGUAGAUAUUAGGAAGAACACCAGUGGCGAAGGCGGCUCACUGGCCCGGUACUGACGCUGAGGCGCGAAAGCGUGGGGAGCAAACAGG